This 313-nucleotide long non-coding RNA is filed under the name Sorghum bicolor (sorghum). RNAcentral describes it as "long non-coding RNA (SBIC_LNC010893)". The record is from RNAcentral. Lineage: Eukaryota; Viridiplantae; Streptophyta; Magnoliopsida; Poales; Poaceae.
GCGCCGUUGCCGGGGAGAGAGACGGUUUGCUGAGAUAACUUUAAGUCUUGCUAUUAUCUUGUAUUAUACUUUUAUACUUUUAUUCUUUUAUCUUUUUAUUUUUUCCAUCUUUAUGGAUAACUCAAAUUCCACACCUAUUAUUCAAUUUUUUGCACCUUCGGAGACCAGCCAUAGACCAUGGGAGUCAACAAGUCCUGCCCCUAAUUAUGAUCUAUGUCCGGAGUUGAUUGCAAUAGGUCAAAACCAACCCUUUUUUAUAGCCAAGGUCCUAUCUUUUAAUCAAGGAGAUAAUGAACAUUUAGCUACACCUAGA